GCUAAGACUGGAUAGGAAGUUUUAAGGCAUCUUGAAACUUUUAAAAGACCCGCAAGGGUAUGCUGAGAGAUGGGCUUGCGGCACAUUAGUUAGUUGGUAAGGUAACGGCUUACCAAGACCAUGAUGUGUAGCUGGACUGAGAGGUUGAACGGCCACAUUGGGACUGAGAUACGGCCCAAACUCCUACGGGAGGCAGCAGUAAGGAAUUUUCGGCAAUGGAGGAAACUCUGACCGAGCAACGCCGCGUGAACGAUGAAGUAUUUAGGUAUGUAAAGUUCUUUUAUUAAAGAAGAAAAAAUGAUGGAAAAAUCAUUCUGACGGUAUUUAAUGAAUAAGCCCCGGCUAACUAUGUGCCAGCAGCUGCGGUAAUACAUGGGGGGCAAGCGUUAUCCGGAUUUAUUGGGCGUAAAGGGUGCGUAGGCGGUUUAAUAAGUCUAUGGUCUAAGUUCAACGCUUAACGUUGUGAUGCUAUAGAAACUGUUUGACUAGAGUUGGAUAGAGGCAAGCGGAAUUCCAUGUGUAGCGGUAAAAUGCGUAAAGAUAUGGAGGAACACCAGUAGCGAAGGCGGCUUGCUGGGUCUUAACUGACGCUGAGGCACGAAAGCGUGGGGAGCAAACAGGAUUAGAUACCCUGGUAGUCCACGCCGUAAACGAUGAGUACUAAGUGUUGGGUUAAACCAGUGCUGAAGUUAACGCAUUAAGUACUCCGCCUGAGUAGUACGUACGCAAGUAUGAAACUUAAAGGAAUUGACGGGACUCCGCACAAGCGGUGGAUCAUGUUGUUUAAUUCGAAGAUACACGAAAAACCUUACCAGGUCUUGACAUACUCUGCAAAGCUAUAGAAAUAUAGUGGAGGUUAUCAGGGAUACAGGUGGUGCAUGGUUGUCGUCAGCUCGUGUCGUGAGAUGUUGGGUUAAGUCCCGCAACGAGCGCAACCCUUAUCGCUAGUUACCAUCAUUUAGUUGGGCACUUUAGUGAGACUGCCAAUGAUAAAUUGGAGGAAGGUGGGGAUUACGUCAAAUCAUCAUGCCCCUUAUGACCUGGGCUACAAACGUGAUACAAUGGCUGUUACAAAGAGUAGCUGAAGCGUGAGUUUUUAGCAAAUCUCAAAAAAACAGUCUCAGUUCGGAUUGAAGUCUGCAACUCGACUUCAUGAAGUCGGAAUCGCUAGUAAUCGCGAAUCAGCAUGUCGUGGUGAAUACGUUCUCGGGGUUUGUACACACCGCCCGUCAAACCAUGAAA
Molecule: ribosomal RNA, 1242 nt
Filed under: Candidatus Phytoplasma pyri
Lineage: Bacteria; Bacillati; Mycoplasmatota; Mollicutes; Acholeplasmatales; Acholeplasmataceae
Description: bacterial SSU rRNA
Rfam family: Bacterial small subunit ribosomal RNA
Source: RNAcentral